This 253-nucleotide ribosomal RNA is filed under the name uncultured bacterium. RNAcentral's name for it is "partial 16S ribosomal RNA". It matches the Rfam family "Bacterial small subunit ribosomal RNA", at positions 524 to 776 of the family's 1533-position model. The record is from RNAcentral.
GACGAACCGUGCGAACGUUAUUCGGAAUCACUGGGCUUAAAGAGCGUGUAGGCGGUUUGGUAGGUCCGCUGUGAAAACUCGAGGCUCAACCUCGAGACGCCGGUGGAAACCAUCAGGCUAGAGUCCGGAAGAGGAGAGUGGAAUUCCUGGUGUAGCGGUGAAAUGCGCAGAUAUCAGGAAGAACACCAAUGGCGAAGGCAGCUCUCUGGGACGGUACUGACGCUGAGACGCGAAAGCGUGGGGAGCGAACAGG